RNAcentral lists this unclassified non-coding RNA (388 nucleotides) under Elsholtzia strobilifera. Its description in RNAcentral is "partial external transcribed spacer". The record is from RNAcentral. Lineage: Eukaryota; Viridiplantae; Streptophyta; Magnoliopsida; Lamiales; Lamiaceae.
AUCAUAUCCUACACGCCUCUUCAUUGGUUGGUUCGGGCGGUGUCUCGGCCAAAGUUGGCUAUCCUGUGCUGUGUACCUAUCUCGUCGGGAUUUUGUUGGCUUAAAGUGGGAAAUUUCCUUCGUGUGCUUCUGCUCCUAGCUGGGAAGUAGUGCAUGUUGGACCAUAAAGCAGUCGUUGUGUAUCGCACUGUGAUCAUCCCAUGGGUGUAUUCAGCUGCCGAGCCACGACGCAAUGCUUGAUAUCACGGGUGCGGAACAUCUAGUGGGUUCGAGGUCCUUGGGCCUUGAUGACCACAAUAAAAAGCGUCCCACGCUUCGUGCGAACGACCGUUGGCGCGGUCUUUGGCCGUUCUCUCUUGCAUUGCGGUUAGAGUCGCGUCGGCGUCGG